UACGGAGGGGGCUAGCGUUGUUCGGAAUUACUGGGCGUAAAGCGCGCGUAGGCGGCUUUGUAAGUUAGAGGUGAAAGCCCGGAGCUCAACUCCGGAAUUGCCUUUAAGACUGCAUCGCUAGAAUCAUGGAGAGGUGAGUGGAAUUCCGAGUGUAGAGGUGAAAUUCGUAGAUAUUCGGAAGAACACCAGUGGCGAAGGCGACUCACUGGACAUGUAUUGACGCUGAG
RNAcentral lists this ribosomal RNA (227 nucleotides) under uncultured bacterium. RNAcentral describes it as "partial 16S ribosomal RNA". It matches the Rfam family "Bacterial small subunit ribosomal RNA", at positions 524 to 750 of the family's 1533-position model. The record is from RNAcentral.